AAUUGGUGCANCUCUUCGGGUGAAAAGCGGCGGACGGGUGAGUAAUGUCUGGGAAACUGCCUGAUGGAGGGGGAUAACUACUGGAAACGGUAGCUAAUACCGCAUAACGUCUUCGGACCAAAGAGGGGGACCUUCGGGCCUCUUGCCAUCAGAUGUGCCCAGAUGGGAUUAGCUAGUAGGUGAGGUAAUGGGUCACCUAGGCGACGAUCCCUAGCUGGUCUGAGAGGAUGACCAGCCACACUGGAACUGAGACACGGUCCAGACUCCUACGGGAGGCAGCAGUGGGGAAUAUUGCACAAUGGGCGCAAGCCUGAUGCAGCCAUGCCGCGUGUGUGAAGAAAGCCUUCGGGUUGUAAAGCACUUUCACCGGGGAGGAAGGCGGUGAGAUUAAUACUCUCAUCGAUUGACGUUACCCGCAGAAAAAGCACCGGCUAACUCCGUGCCAGCAGCCGCGGUAAUACGGAGGGUGCAAGCGUUAAUCGGAAUGACUGGGCGUAAAGCGCACGCAGGCGGUUUGUUAAGUCAGAUGUGAAAUCCCCGAGCUUAACUUGGGAACUGCAUUUGAAACUGGCAAGCUAGAGUCUUGUAAAGGGGGGUAGAAUUCCCGGUGUAUCGCUGAAAUGCGUAGAGAUCUGGAGGAAUACCGGUGGCGAAAGCGGCCCCCUGAACAAAGACUGACGCUCAAGUGCGAAAGCGUGGGGAGCAAACAGGAUUAUAUAC
This 720-nucleotide ribosomal RNA is filed under the name Pectobacterium carotovorum subsp. carotovorum. Its description in RNAcentral is "bacterial SSU rRNA". It matches the Rfam family "Bacterial small subunit ribosomal RNA", at positions 71 to 785 of the family's 1533-position model. The record is from RNAcentral. Lineage: Bacteria; Pseudomonadati; Pseudomonadota; Gammaproteobacteria; Enterobacterales; Pectobacteriaceae.